RNAcentral lists this small RNA (76 nucleotides) under Klebsiella pneumoniae. RNAcentral describes it as "partial RtT sRNA". It matches the Rfam family "RtT RNA", at positions 57 to 130 of the family's 130-position model. Rfam says of the family: This family represents a bacterial cis-regulatory element known as RtT RNA. Lineage: Bacteria; Pseudomonadati; Pseudomonadota; Gammaproteobacteria; Enterobacterales; Enterobacteriaceae. The record is from RNAcentral.
GCGAGAGAACGUUGCCGCAGGCAACGGCCCGAAGGGCGAGGAGCGAUAGCGACGAGUUAUCCUUCCCCCACCACCA